RNAcentral lists this small nuclear RNA (276 nucleotides) under Nannospalax galili (Upper Galilee mountains blind mole rat). Its description in RNAcentral is "7SK RNA (ENSNGAG00000002299.1)". It matches the Rfam family "7SK RNA". From Rfam's summary of the family: 7SK was discovered as an abundant small nuclear RNA in the mid-70s but a possible function has only recently been suggested. Two independent studies have found that 7SK RNA binds the CDK9/cyclin T complex (known as elongation factor P-TEFb). Lineage: Eukaryota; Metazoa; Chordata; Mammalia; Rodentia; Spalacidae. The record is from Rfam by way of RNAcentral.
GCAUGUGAGGGUGAUCUGGUUGUGACAUCUGUCAUCCCACUGAACAACCAUGGUUGAUUUGGUUAAUCUGGCUGGCUAGCCAGGUGGUGUCCCCUUUUUUCUUCACUGCUCCUUGUGCUUCAUUUCUGAUGGAGAAUGCUUUAUUGGCCUUUUCCAACAGAAGACCAUCUUUGGUUGAGAGUUAAGGUGCCCUUCUGUUAGAACUUCCAAACAAGCUCUCAGUGAAUAUAAUAGAAGUUUUAAACCAAGCAUGGUGGCUCAUUUCUAUAGUCCUAG